Molecule: long non-coding RNA, 952 nt
Organism: Drosophila montana
Lineage: Eukaryota; Metazoa; Arthropoda; Insecta; Diptera; Drosophilidae
Exons: 2
Source: RefSeq, a predicted model, not a curated record
UAAAAAGCAAGCGUUGAGAUAUUCAAAAAUAACAGAUUGUAUAAAUUGGGAGACAUAAAUUCAGUUCUAGUCUUUUAUGGAAGUAGUUAACAUCCCAAAACAAAAAAUUAACAAUCAAAAUACGAGCAGUUCAAUAGAAAAAAGCUAAUCGAAAAUUUUAUAUAUUUAUUUUUUACGAUAUUCAAUUGAGAACAUGUUGAAGCGGACUGGACACAAAUCGCAUGAAAAACGGGAAAAUGUGGAGGCCACUUUACUGGUAAAUCGUGAUUAUGGAUUCAUGAAGACCACCAAUACGGGCUCACCGUUACCAAAGAAAACGAAUCCCUUCGAUCCACAAAUGCUGAUCGACCGUCAGCAAGGUGCCCAACGGAGAUCAGUUUCCUCGAUUUCUGAAUCGCGGCCAACGACUUCUAGUGACUCUUCAUUCGAGAAACUAGCACAAAACCCUUUUCGCAAAUCGGAAAUGACGUUUGAAAUGAAGCGAAAGCUGUUCGAAGGGUAAAAAAUGAUACAUAUCGCUCAUUUUCUUGCCGCGCCUUAUGGCGAAUUCACCAAAUGGGAAAUUUACCAUAACGCGCGGCAAGAAAAUGAGCGGUAUUUAUCAUUUUUUACUCAUCGAACAGCUUUCGUUUCAUUUCAAACGUCAUUUCCGGAUUGCGAAAAGGGUUUUGUGCUAGUUUCUCGAAUGAAGAGUUACUAGAAGCGUUGUCAUCGAUUCAUCUUCCCAAUGUUGAACAUAAGCUGCCCAAGUAUUCCAAGCGAGACUCUCAGCAGCAUGCCUUGCAAGAGAUGGAGGAGUUCUGUCGUGCCAUGAACAUCAAGAUAAGCAAGGACUUCUACAAUUAGAUACAAAUAUAACACUUUCUACACCACAAUACACACAUCGGUCUUACACACAUAUGUACAUAUAUAUUUAUACAUAUUUUCUGAGUCAAUAAACAGCUGGAAACUA